RNAcentral lists this ribosomal RNA (253 nucleotides) under uncultured bacterium. Its description in RNAcentral is "partial 16S ribosomal RNA". It matches the Rfam family "Bacterial small subunit ribosomal RNA", at positions 524 to 776 of the family's 1533-position model. The record is from RNAcentral.
UACGAAGGGGGCUAGCGUUGCUCGGAAUCACUGGGCGUAAAGCGCACGUAGGCGGAUCUUUAAGUCAGGGGUGAAAUCCUGGAGCUCAACUCCAGAACUGCCUUUGAUACUGGGGAUCUCGAGUCCGGAAGAGGUGAGUGGAACUCCGAGUGUAGAGGUGAAAUUCGUAGAUAUUCGGAAGAACACCAGUGGCGAAGGCGGCUCACUGGUCCGGUACUGACGCUGAGGUGCGAAAGCGUGGGGAGCAAACGGG